GGAGAAGACUGGGUGAUCGCUUGGAGCGGGAACGCUCUGAGAGGAAAGUCCGGACUUCAUGGGCAGGGCACUGGGUAACUCCCAGGCGGAGCGAUCCGACACCAGCACCACAGAGAACAAACCGCCGAUGGCCAAGGCGAUCGGAUUCCAAUCUGGUUGCAGUGGCUCAGGUAAGGGUGAAACGGUGGGGUAAGAGCCCACCGCGGUGGUGGCGACAUCACCGGCACGGUAAGCGUCGCCCGAUGCAAGGCCAAAUAGGAAGACAUUUGUCGGUUUUCUUCGGAGAGCCGACGACCGGCUGGCCCAGCCGAGGUCUUCGGGUAGGUCGCUUGAGGUUCGAGGUAACUCGGAUCCCAGAGAAAUGAUCACCCCCGUUUGGGAUCAAAUCCCAGGCGGGACAGAAUCCGGCUUAUAGGUCUUCUCCACCG
Molecule: RNase P RNA, 428 nt
Filed under: Nitrospirota bacterium
Lineage: Bacteria; Pseudomonadati; Nitrospirota
Description: Nitrospirae bacterium (mine drainage metagenome) RNase P RNA component class A
Rfam family: Bacterial RNase P class A
About the family: Ribonuclease P (RNase P) is a ubiquitous endoribonuclease, found in archaea, bacteria and eukarya as well as chloroplasts and mitochondria. Its best characterised activity is the generation of mature 5'-ends of tRNAs by cleaving the 5'-leader elements of precursor-tRNAs.
Source: RNAcentral